AAUCAAUAUUAUAUUUUAGUAUUUUUAUUUUUCAUUUAAAAAGAGUUUGAUUU
RNAcentral lists this transfer RNA (53 nucleotides) under Meloidogyne exigua. RNAcentral describes it as "tRNA-Glu". Lineage: Eukaryota; Metazoa; Nematoda; Chromadorea; Rhabditida; Meloidogynidae. The record is from RNAcentral.